UCCGGCUGACUUGGUUUAGAGGACCUGUGGGAUGUGCUGAGAAGGAGGACUGGGGAGAGCCCUGAGGAUGGAUCGCAGAGAACCAGGACGAGCAUCAGGAGUCGGCAUGAUUAUGAAGUUACUGUCUCUGAGCUCCCAGCCUGCCUUCCUGUGCUCUGCUUUGUGCCGGUAAGCUGGGAAACGGCAUUUCUGCUUUGCCGGUUCGGUUCUCUUUUGGACCCCGGCAGUGCGGUUUGCUAGAUUGCAGAAGUGGGGCGAUGAACGUGUUCUGCUUUGCCCAGGACUCCCCCCGUUUUAGCACCGAAAGUUCCGCCUCCUGAGAAC
Molecule: long non-coding RNA, 324 nt
Filed under: Sus scrofa (pig)
Lineage: Eukaryota; Metazoa; Chordata; Mammalia; Artiodactyla; Suidae
Description: lncRNA (ENSSSCG00070003306.1)
Source: RNAcentral